AUUACGUUGAAAAAUUCCAAUUUUUUUUUGUUGAGCUAGGUACUUUUGGAAUCAUCCUCGUACUUAUAUUGUUUGAAUAUGUUAAUUAAAGUAAAUGUGGUUAACAUGAAUAUUUUUAAAGUUUCCACACAUAAUAACACAGUGAGUCUUCUACAAUACUAAUUGUAGUAAUGAAAUGAAAAUUAAUAAGUUGUAUCGCAUCUUCUAUUAUCAUUUUAUUUAUUAUUUCAUAUUAAGACUUAUAAAUAUUCAUAUAAUAAUUUUAGUUGUAAACUUUUAGUUCCGAGAAAAGUGAACAGUUGAUUGGUGCAAAUUGCACUGAUGAGGUAUUUUUGUCCAUAAUUAUUUAUUCAAUAUCCUUUUUCAUCUUAUUAUUUUUGUUGAAAACAUCAACGCCCAUAAAUCAACAUAUCGGUGAAAUUGAUAAAUAAUUAGACUCUUAAUAUUUCUGAUAUAUUCUGUCUGUCAUAUUUAUAAUUAAAAUUAAUUAUUCAAAUUUUAUUUUGCAGUAUUCAAAAGUAAAUAACCAUUUUAGGUUUUUUUGGACAAUAUCAACAAGAAGAAGAGAAUAUCCAAAGAUUAGGUUCCGAACAACAAAAAACUGAAAAGAAAUUAGAAGAAAUAUAAACAACGACAAUUUAUAAUGCUGAAAAAGUAUUGAUAAUAGAUUUGAAACGUUCCAUGGUUCUUUGGCAACUUGUCCAAAGAUGAUGAUUUGACUGAACCUCCAAAAAGUUUACAAGUAGAUUUAACACUACAAAAACUUUAAACACUUUUAUGGUUUAAGUGGAGUGAAAAAACAAAAACCUCCUUGAGGUAUCUUAGCAAAUGAAAUGGGUCUUGAAAAAACAUUUAUAAUGCUAUCUUUGAUGUUGAAAUGCAAUGAAAUGACUGUGGAAAUCGAGCAUAAAAAACAAUAUAAUGGAGGUACAUUAGUCGUUUGUCCAUUUAGUCUUCCGAACUGAUAAUAAGGAGAGUUACGAGCAAAGGACGGACCUAACCUAAAAAUAUUAACCGAAUAAGAUUUGAUUACAACUUCUUAUAGUAUAAUAAAUAGGGGAAAAAAGAAGUGCUGUUUUAAAGUGAAAUAGAUAAGAUGAAAGGAAUUACAGAUCUGUUACAUUUGCUAAUGUUCACAGAUCGACCACAUGGAUGUUAACGGGAAAAGGAGUUUAACAUGUUUGAGGAAGAAAUUACAGGAGAGACUGAACACCUAUAUAUGAUUACAUCAUCUCUUAUGUUAAGAAGAAAAAACUGAACUAAUUGGAAAGGAAUUACUGAGUAGCAAACAGAAACUUAUACCUGUUGAUUUAAAAAUUGUUUAUACCAAAAUAUUAAUAUUUUCUUGUAUAUUUUUCGCCAUUUAUCGUGGUAAAAAUCUUAAAAAUAUCAUCAAUCCAAACAUUUUCAAAAUUUUUUCCCGUUAACAUACAUCUGGUUAUUCUAAUCAAUCUGCAAAUGUGGCAGAUCUGUAAUUUCUAAUUUGAUGUGCUCCAUCUAAAACUAUUCUUCUUAUUUACUUUACAAACAGCACUUCUUCUUUUCCCUAUUUAUUAUAUCGUAUGAAGUUAUAAUCAAAUCUUAUUAGGUUAAUAUUUUUAGGUUAGAUUCUCUUUUAGAUCCACAGUAAGCCUCUGCCUCAGAAUGCUAACUGGACAGAAGAGUAAUGUAACUCCCUCGUAUUAUUUUUUACAUUAAAACAACUCUUAUUCUGUUUGUCGCUGCUAACACACGCUAACUCGAACUUAUUUCAGGCAAAUCAGCUUUAUCCUAACAUUUAAAUGCUAACGGAAACUACAGAAUCGAAAUAUAAAGAUAUAUGGAGAUAAAAUUAAUCAGUAUUAUAUUAUAAAUGCUUGUGGCAUUGUGACAAAACUAAACACCGAAGUGUACUACUUCUAAUAUAUUAAAUACUUAUGUAUUCAUGGUCUGGGAAUUAAUUACUUAAAAAUUACUUAAACUUUGUAAUGUAUUUGAAAAACAAAAAUUCAUUAACUUCAAUAUACAAAAGUUAAAUUACCUCUUGAUAGAAAUAUUAAGCGUAUUGAUUCUGAAUUAAUAUAAGUAUUGGAAAAUUCGGUAUAUAUUAGAAUUAGUACACUUUUGGGUUUAAUUUUGCCACAAUCCCACUACGGAAACGCCCUUAUACAUAUACAAAGGUAUACAUUCUAUUUAGUAUCCAUGAAUUGGUAUCUUGUUCCAUAAUUUCAAUUUUUUUUUCUUUUUUUUUGAUAACUAUAAUUGGUUUUUUUUUAUUCGUUUUAAAUGCUCUGUUGCAUUCUACUAAAUCUUCUUUUUCUUCAUUAUUAUCUAGACCUUAUCAUUUAUUUCUUGUUGGCUUUCAUUUUCUCUAUCUUCGAUUCCUUAAAUUUUCAUAUUAUUGUGCUUUAUUUAUCUUUCUACAUUUUUCAGUCUUUAUUUUCGUUUAGUUAUCAUUUGAUUAAGCUUUUGAUUUUAUUGUUUCAAUUCUUCUGUCUAUUUCUUCUUCAACGCUCUAAGGGCUUUCUUUUAUCUUGAAUCUUCUUUUUUAUCAUUCAUUUCUUCACUUAACAAGUUUCGCUAGUUCUAUCAUCUACUCAGUUCAGUACCCAAUAUUCUAUUUAGAUUCAGUCCGGCUCUGUAUUCCUAUUUUUGUUCAUAACUUUUUCUAUUUAUUAUCGAUUUUAAUAAUUUUGAUUUAUUUUAUAUCUAGUUUUUCUCUUUUACUCGAUUUCCUCUGUCAUUUCAUGUUAAUAUUUCUAGGUUAGGUCCUUUCUUCUUCCUCAUUUCACUUUAAAAACAGCACGUCUAUUUAUUAUACCAUAUGAAGUUGUAAUCAAAUCUUAUUCCGUUAAUAUUUUUAGGUUAGGUCCGUCCUUUGCUCUAACUCUCCUGACUAUUAGUUCGGAAGAUUAAAUGGACAAACGACUAAUGUACCUCCAUUAUAUUGUUUUUUAUGCUCGAUUUCCACUGUCAUUUCAUAGCAUUUCAACAUCAAAGACAGCAUUUUAAAUGUUUUUUCAAGACCCAUUUCAUCUGCUAAGAUACCUCCAGGAGGUUUUUGUUUUUUCACUUCACAUAAUCCAUAAAAAUGUGUAAAGCUAUUGUGGUGUUAAAUCUACUUGUAAACUUUUUGUAGGUUCAGCAAAAUCAUCAUCUUUUGGACAAGUUACCAAAGAACCAUGCAACUCUUUUAAUUUAUCUAUUAUGGAAUUAUAAUAGUUCCAUUUCCAGAAAUCUUUGAUUAAAAAAUUUCUCCCAUGAUAAAGCUUGUGACUCAAUCCGUACUUCUUCUAAUUUCUGUGAUUAUAACCUCUCUUAUUUAUUUUUUAUUAUCAUUUGGUAAAUCGAAACCUUCUCUUACAUCUGUAGUACUUUUUGAUUUACAACAAAAUAUUAAUAUUUUUGUCAAAUAUUGAUAUCAAAAAGCUGAUGAAAUCAUGAUGCAGAAUGGUAUGACGAAAUUGUAGAAUCAGAAUCUAACCAACAAAUUUUUAAAUCUGUUGAAUUUUCUUAUAACGGUUAUGCUUGAUGAGAAAAUGGAAUUUUUGGAAAAUGAUUGUAGAUCAGAUAUUGCAUUGGAUUAUAUUGACCAAUUGAACAAAUGACUGCAAAAACGAAAAGCGGAUUUCAUUAUCUUCAACUGUUGUCGAAGUUGAUUUAAAUUUGGUUGGAACAAAUCAAUUGACCCUAUUGGAUCUCCACUGGAAUCCCGAAUUAGAACACCAGACGCAGGAUCGUAUUUACAGGGUUGGUGGCGACAGAUACCCACAUAGACAAAAGAAUUUUGGAUAUGCAAAUAAAGAACAUAUAAAUUGCUAAUAAUUCGAUGUUAACUAGAUCUGUUGUACAAGUCGAUGGAGAAAAUUGAAAUUAUUAUUUGAUAUAUAAAAUAUCUUCACUAUGAUUUAAAUUUUUUAUGUAUGUCAUUUCAUUUUGACAUGUUUUAUUGUUUAAAGUACUUUUGGAAUUGUACUUGUUUGAAUAAGAAUCUAGUUUCCAUUAUUUGUCACUAUUUUAAUUCAACCCAUCUUCAUUAUUAUUUCAUAUUCACUUUCUAGUUCUGUGCUUGUGCUGUCAAUUAAACGCAAAGAAGUCUAUUCUAACCUAAAACCAUUUUUAAUAAGUGCAGUCGAUGCAUCCAAUGAUUCGAGGUACAUUAUAUUUCAAAAAGAACCUCAACCAUUUCAAAUUCAUAUUCAACUGAGUUAAAUUUAUAUUUGUAAUAAAUAAAAACUAAAUAAAAAGUUUUAACUACUGAAGUUCAUCCAAAUAUAUUCUUAUUGUGUCAAAAUGAAUUUGAAAGUUUCUUUGGUUACCCAAAUAUUUUUUUUUAAAUUAGUCAUCACUGAGGUUUCUUAAAACAACUCCGUGGGGCUCUGCAACAACUUCUUCCAGCAGUCCUGUUACAUAAGAUAGCAUUAGAUGGCUAGUGUAUGGUCUCCUAUAUCAACUACACAUGACCACUAGGUGGCAGCAGAACGAACGUCAAGUAGAAACGUCAGUGACACUCCUCCGCUUAUCUUUGAUCUUGUAAAUGAUAUAAGUUUCAUUAAUAAAAUAGUAUUCAAAAAGUCCUGACUAUAAUUUAACAAGUUAUAAAAUAUGUAACAAGUCUAAUAUAC
Molecule: long non-coding RNA, 4604 nt
Organism: Diorhabda carinulata
Lineage: Eukaryota; Metazoa; Arthropoda; Insecta; Coleoptera; Chrysomelidae
Exons: 3
Source: RefSeq, a predicted model, not a curated record